This 345-nucleotide unclassified non-coding RNA is filed under the name soil metagenome. RNAcentral's name for it is "partial contains 5.8S ribosomal RNA, internal transcribed spacer 2, and large subunit ribosomal RNA". The stretch from base 1 to 119 matches the Rfam family "5.8S ribosomal RNA", at positions 35 to 154 of the family's 154-position model. The record is from RNAcentral.
GAUGAAGAACGCAGCGAAAUGCGAUACGUAAUGUGAAUUGCAAAUUCAGUGAAUCAUCGAGUCUUUGAACACACAUUGCGCCCCCUGGUAUUCCGGGGGGCAUGCCCGUCCGAGCGUCAUUGCUGCCCUCAAGCACGGCUUGUGUGUUGGGCCCCGUCCUCCGAUCCCGGGGGACGGGCCCGAAAGGCAGCGGCGGCACCGCGUCCGGUCCUCGAGCGUAUGGGGCUUUGUCACCCGCUCUGUAGGCCCGGCCGGCGCUUGCCGAUCAACCCAAAUUUUUAUCCAGGUUGACCUCGGAUCAGGUAGGGAUACCCGCUGAACUUAAGCAUAUCAAUAAGCGGAGGA